Gasterosteus aculeatus aculeatus (three-spined stickleback) is the source of this 336-nucleotide long non-coding RNA. RefSeq lists it as uncharacterized. Lineage: Eukaryota; Metazoa; Chordata; Actinopteri; Perciformes; Gasterosteidae. The record is from RefSeq and is a predicted model, not a curated record.
GUCAGAAGCACCAGCCGCUGCUUCAUUCAGUCAGUCCGCCCGCCGGUCUGUCGGACGAUCGCUCAGUCCGUCAGUCCGUCCCCUCUCCUGCCGAACAAAGAGGAAGCAAAAGCACACACACACACACACAGCAUACGCAGCGCUGAGGAGCAGACGGGGAAGCCUAAUGCCACAUACAAGAUGGUGCUGCCCUUCUCUGUCUAAUUCAGUGCUGUUGCUCUGCUACCGGGCCUGAGAUCACGCGCCAGCUGCCAAAAAGGCAGAUGGAUUUAAAGAUGAGCCAAUUAAACGGCUCAUGCUCCUUGUUUGAAUCCAGAUUAAAACUCCCCUUAACGA